RNAcentral lists this ribosomal RNA (292 nucleotides) under uncultured bacterium. Its description in RNAcentral is "partial 16S ribosomal RNA". It matches the Rfam family "Bacterial small subunit ribosomal RNA", at positions 505 to 796 of the family's 1533-position model. The record is from RNAcentral.
GUGUCAGCAGCCGCGGUAAUACGAAGGUCCCAAGCGUUGUUCGGAUUUACUGGGCGUAAAGAGUCUGUAGGCGGCGGGGUAAGUCAGAUGUGAAAUCCCGGGGCUCAACCCCGGAACUGCAUCCGAUACUGCCUUGCUAGAGUAUUGGAGGGGAGCCUGGAAUUCUCGGUGUAGCAGUGAAAUGCGUAGAUAUCGAGAGGAACACUAGUGGCGAAGGCGAGGCUCUGGACAAUUACUGACGCUGAGAGACGAAGGUCAGGGGAGCGAAAAGGAUUAGAAACCCGUGUAGUCC